UGGGGAAUUUUGGACAAUGGGCGCAAGCCUGAUCCAGCCAUGCCGCGUGCAGGAUGAAGGCCUUCGGGUUGUAAACUGCUUUUGUACGGAACGAAAAGACUCUGGUUAAUACCUGGGGUCCAUGACGGUACCGUAAGAAUAAGCACCGGCUACUACGUGCCAGCAGCCGCGGUAAUACGUAGGGUGCAAGCGUUAAUCGGAAUUACUGGGCGUAAAGCGUGCGCAGGCGGUGAUGUAAGACAGGUGUGAAAUCCCCGGGCUUAACCUGGGAAUUGCAUUUGUGACUGCAUAGCUGGAGUACGGUAGAGGGGGAUGGAAUUCCGCGUGUAGCAGUGAAAUGCGUAGAUAUGCGGAGGAACACCGAUGGCGAAGGCAAUCCCCUGGACCUGUACUGACGCUCAUGCACGAAAGCGUGGGGAGCAAACA
Molecule: ribosomal RNA, 426 nt
Filed under: uncultured bacterium
Lineage: Bacteria
Description: bacterial SSU rRNA
Rfam family: Bacterial small subunit ribosomal RNA
Source: RNAcentral